CGCACAUUGCGCCCGCCAGUAUUCUGGCGGGCAUGCCUGUUCGAGCGUCAUUUCAACCCUCAAGCCCCCAGGGGCUUGGUGUUGGGGACCGGCCCGCCACCGCGCGCGCCGCCCCCGAAAUGCAGUGGCGACCUCGCCGCAGCCUCCCCUGCGUAGUAGCACAACCUCGCACCGGAGCGCGGAGACGGUCACGCCGUAAAACGCCCAACUUUUUUAGAGUUGACCUCGGAUCAGGUAGGAAUACCCGCUGAACUUAA
This 257-nucleotide unclassified non-coding RNA is filed under the name Hypocreales sp. Its description in RNAcentral is "partial contains 5.8S ribosomal RNA, internal transcribed spacer 2, and large subunit ribosomal RNA". Lineage: Eukaryota; Fungi; Ascomycota; Sordariomycetes; Hypocreales. The record is from RNAcentral.